CUUGUUAUUUAUGGAAACUACUUAUGAAGUAUACUUUAAUUCUAAAUUACUACUCACCAUCUCGCAAUACAAUAUUAAUUUGGCAUUGUCCUCCAAGCCCUUAGCCUACUCAAACUAAGAUGCCUAAAUGCAAACACGCACGUACGGGUUAGCGUCAAGUACAGAAAAAAACUAAAAAGAUUGGCAAGCUGCAUUAACCCAUUGUUACCGCCCUUAUCUCACUUCCUCGUUUUUGAAAAGUAAGCCAAAGGACAUCAAACCCACUAAUAAAUGGCUUUGACGGAACUAUGGGGCAAUUUAUGAAGAGAGGUUGAAUCCGGGAGGGAGUCCGACGUGACAGUUCUACACAUUCCUCCGGAAGCCCCGGGGCGUCAGGACCAGACCGGUCGCGCGGGGACUGCAGACGGCCAAGAGCAGCGAGAGGACAGGCAGCGCAGAAACCCGGCACGUCCAGCCCAAGGCCCCGGGACGCGGCGGGUCGGCUCCCAGGAGCGCGGCCUCCCGGGGCCCCGCGCCGCGCGCCCCCCGCCCCUCCCCUCCGCUCCCGGCGCAGCCUCUCCCGCCCCUCCCCACCCGGCUCCCUCAAGUCUCCACGAACGGAAAUGGGAGUCACAGCGCCGGGGACCAGCGGAAACAAAACACAGAGUUGGCCGCGGGGGGGCCGCUGUGGGGGAGAAGGCCCCGGAACGAGGCCGGCCCGCGUGGGCCCGCGCUCCUCUCUUUCCCUGCAGCUGCACUCACCCGCUCCAAAAUCGGCCCAGACGCCCUCGCCAGUGCUCCUGAGCCGGCUGAGAACGGCAGCGGCCCCAGCUCCACGUGCAGCCUCUCUCCGGGCGCCCCCGGGUCCAGGACUACAACUCCCAGCAGGUUGCGCGAAACGAUCGCCCGACGCAACGGAGGAUCGCGAGGCACAACGCCCGAAAUCCGCUUUGUGUUACACUCUCUUGCUUUCCCAGUACAUUCAUACACGUCAACAACCACAAGAAACAGGACGCUGA
Molecule: long non-coding RNA, 998 nt
Filed under: Dasypus novemcinctus (nine-banded armadillo)
Lineage: Eukaryota; Metazoa; Chordata; Mammalia; Cingulata; Dasypodidae
Description: lncRNA (ENSDNOG00000050760.1)
Source: RNAcentral